RNAcentral lists this non-coding RNA (78 nucleotides) under Geobacter sp. Its description in RNAcentral is "c-di-GMP sequence". It matches the Rfam family "c-di-GMP-I riboswitch aptamer". From Rfam's summary of the family: GEMM was predicted in a large-scale screen for bacterial structured RNA regulatory elements. Lineage: Bacteria; Pseudomonadati; Thermodesulfobacteriota; Desulfuromonadia; Geobacterales; Geobacteraceae. The record is from RNAcentral. RNAcentral also lists the same sequence under 1 other name.
UUGACGAAAAGGCAAAGCACGGGUAAUCGUGUGACGCAAAGCUACCUGUCCAGAAGCCUGGAAAGAGGGGCCGCCGAA